GGUACAAAUCAAUCUACAUACAAUUUGUAUUCAUGGUUGAUUAUAUCUUUAAUUAUCUCCAUCUAUACUAACAUAUUCUACUGGUUUCUUGGUACAAAUCUAUAUCUAUAUCAAUCCGCACUCCUCUCCUCUGGAACUUUUUAUUAACGUCUCUUUUGAUUCUUUUUAUUGCCAACCAAAGGAAUGUUGUUUUAUGUUUCUUUAAGUGUACCUGAUGCAUUAAAAUAUUUAAUACCUGAAAAGUAUAAGUGCAUACAUAUAUUACUUGCUAUUUUCUUGAAAAAUUGAGAAGUUUUACAUCAAUUUUCCUUGAUUGUAGGCAAGAUGUUGCUGGUAAUGCCACCAUCCAGUCAUUUUACCAUGAUGUUGUCCAUCUUCAAGUUUGUCAUUUUAUCAAAUAGGAUGAGAUAAGUUCUCGCGUUAAUGUCGGUAAUUAUAAGUUAUUCCAUAGGUAUAUGAAUGCCCAUCACACAAUUUGAAAUUUUGUGCUAAUUAGGUGGUAUUAUGUUAAAUUAUUCUGCAUGUAUGAUGAUCGAUGGGUUUGGAGCCGCAGUUAGGUUAAUUGGGUUUGAGUUUAAUGUUGGCCAUCAUUAGCUGUCGUCUCAUCAGAGUGGGCGGUUGAAGAAAAUUUGGUCAGGUUGCGUGCAAAUUGAGAAGAGGGAAAGCAGGUUGAGUUGUUGACGCAGUUAUGUUGGAUGCUUUUGAUUGAAUGGAAGAUUCACUAAGCACGUUUUUGUGGAUUUCUUUGUGCAUGUGCUUAUGGUACUAAUGACCGUGCUUUCUUAUAUCGAUUCUUUUCAACAAGAGUCCAGCAUGUGCCAUUAUCUACUGCAACGAACAUGUGGAAGAAACUUCCAUAUGAUGCAACUGAUUUUGUAAUGAAUGACGUUCCCUUAUUGACUAAUCUUCUUUAGCACCAUGAUGCCAAAGUUUUGGAGUGUGCUUCGGUUUGUUUGACUCGAAUUGCGAAGGCGUUUGCCUCAUCAUCUGAUGAGCUAGACAAGCUUUGUAUCCAUGGAUUGGUUAAACAAGCAACCUAUCUCAUUUCAACCAGCUGUUCUGGCCUCAGUACAUCUACAUAACAUAUACUGUACAUACGUGAUUUUCUUUUCUUUUUUGGUAAGAUAGUAUUACUAUUGAGGGGCAGCAUCACUUAAAGUUAUCCAAUGCAGGGCUUAAUCUGAUUGAUAUCCUAUAUGUGCAUCUGGCUCUCCCUUAGGACCCAAAACUUUCUCUUUCUAAGGAUCAUUAGGGAUUCUCAAAGGCAUAUCAUCCGUUUGUUGCAACGAUGCAUGUGUCACCUUCCUUGAGUAGACCACCAGAGGAGGUAAUAUUGUUUCACAUGUCUUAUCUUAAUUACCACGGUCUACCUUCAUCACUUACACUCACGAACGACGUGUAUUGAAUAAAUUUGUUUCAUUUGGGUGUGCAUAUUUUUGGGAUUGUGAAUUUGGCGAAUUUGGCAAACAUAUCCAAAUUUCAUGUGAAUUUAAACAUAUGCAUUAGACUAGAGAGUGCCAAGUGAACAAAAAAAAGUUUUUGUUAACAAACUUUGGGUUAAAAAUCUGAAUCAUUUUUGCAUUGGGACAUGUUAUGACAAAGUUACAAGUCAAAGUGAACGAAAGGUGUUGAUCAGUUACCCUUGCGGCAUGGUUGAAGAAAUCUUCAGGUCUUCGUGCACACGGUUCUCGCA
Helianthus annuus (common sunflower) is the source of this 1693-nucleotide long non-coding RNA. RefSeq lists it as uncharacterized. The transcript is spliced from 4 exons. The record is from RefSeq and is a predicted model, not a curated record. Lineage: Eukaryota; Viridiplantae; Streptophyta; Magnoliopsida; Asterales; Asteraceae.